Molecule: non-coding RNA, 67 nt
Filed under: Lotharella globosa
Lineage: Eukaryota; Cercozoa; Chlorarachniophyceae
Source: RNAcentral
UUUUUUAAGUAUUUUCUUAUUUAAUUUUUUGGGGGGUUAUUUUUGUUUUUUCUUUUUUUUUUCUCGU